ACCCUUUAAGCACAGGAUACGUUGCCAAAAAGUAUGCUCAAUCCCGUCGACUCGUAGGAUUCGGUCUGGCAGCCGGCGACCGGCGGCCCUCCCUCCCUCACGCAGCACGCUGCGCCGUCGCCUCCACCCCACCCUCCUCUCGCCUGCCGUCCUCCCCUGCCGCUGCGGCGCCGUCGUCGCCUCUUCCUGCAACGCCGGGAAUCGAUCUGUUGCGGCCGCUUCUCUGACGUCGAGAGGAGGACGGCUGCGCCAUCUUCUCCACCACACCGCGCCCGUCUUCACCUUCGCGUUCACGCAAUGAGGAUGCCCAGCGGCGGGCCGGUGUGGAUCUGACUAUCUGAGGCCACCACCGCCUAAGCAUCGCCCGAUCCUGUUUGUACCCUGUCAACGGCCACCAGCCCACCACCGUUACAGACCCGCUCGAUAGGAGGUCGUCCGACUCCACCGCCACCGCCACCGGCAGUUUGACUCCAUCGUGACCUCAGCAGUUGACAGGCUCCUGUGCAGCUCUAGGUCGACACUCCGCAAGGAGUUGGACCUUCCACAGCCGCACAAAGCUCAUCACGUUUGACAAGGGACACAUUUGCUGACGACGACGAUGAGGAUGAUGAUGACGAUGACGACGUUCAUGUGCGUCACGACGAGAUCGGUCUGUCCCAUCUACAGGUUGCUCCAGUCACCGAACCGUCACAGCCUACGCCACGCAGACGACGACCACGUGAUCCUUACACUCCAGGCACCGACACUCUUGAGGCCAAGUGUAAGACUAGGAGGAAGUGAGGUGGUGGAUGUCUUCUUAUUUGGGAUGUGCUAUGGAUUGUUUCUGAUAUGGCUGUGAUUUGGACUAUGUGCUACGCACGGCGAUUUGGACUAUUUUUUGUUUUAGACUAUGAUUUGUGCUAUGUACUUGAUUUUGUACUAUGUGUGAUAUGGACUACGUAUGAUAUUGUCUGGUUGUUUGAUGUGA
Zea mays is the source of this 967-nucleotide long non-coding RNA. RefSeq lists it as uncharacterized. The record is from RefSeq and is a predicted model, not a curated record. NCBI's taxonomy places the organism in Eukaryota, Viridiplantae, Streptophyta, Magnoliopsida, Poales, Poaceae. The transcript is spliced from 3 exons.